This 301-nucleotide ribosomal RNA is filed under the name uncultured bacterium. RNAcentral describes it as "partial 16S ribosomal RNA". It matches the Rfam family "Bacterial small subunit ribosomal RNA", at positions 509 to 808 of the family's 1533-position model. The record is from RNAcentral.
CAGUAGCCGCGGUAAUACGAAGGGGGCUAGCGUUGCUCGGAAUGACUGGGCGUAAAGGGCGCGUAGGCGGAUGGCACAGUCAGAUGUGAAAUUCCCGGGCUUAACCCGGGGGCUGCAUUUGAUACGUGUUGUCUAGAGUGAGGAAGAGGGUCGUGGAAUUCCCAGUGUAGAGGUGAAAUUCGUAGAUAUUGGGAAGAACACCGGUGGCGAAGGCGGCGACCUGGUCCUUUACUGACGCUGAGGCGCGAAAGCGUGGGGAGCAAACAGGAUUAGAUACCCCCCGUAGUCCCUGUCUCUUAUA